Molecule: unclassified non-coding RNA, 528 nt
Filed under: Hevea brasiliensis (rubber tree)
Lineage: Eukaryota; Viridiplantae; Streptophyta; Magnoliopsida; Malpighiales; Euphorbiaceae
Source: RNAcentral
AUAAUCAACAAUGAUAAUUCUGAUUUAUCUAGAGAAUCAGAUAAUUAUAACCUAACAACACUAAAAAUUAAUAUAAUAACAAGCAUCAAUAAGUGAACAACACCAAACCCGAUCAAUUCGUUUUCGGAUCAGGCAUGGGGAACAAUCCGCCCCCGGCGGCUCCACGCGGUGGCGAAAACCCGAGAAACUUUUGGAGAUUUGUGCGGAUACUGAUCGAACACAGGAAAUACAAAAAUGCCAUUGAGCAAUCCGUCGCAUCAUCGCCUUGCAAUCCUCUGUGACUCAUCUUCAUCACGAUCCCUAUCGGCUUAAACGGCAAUUUGGCAACAACUUUCCCUUCGAAGAGCGAAUUCAACAGUCCAAAAACGAUGAAGAGAACCAAGGCAACAACGGCGCCGGAUUUGAACUUGAAGAGGGAGAGAUCACGACUGGACUCUUUCAAGGAGGUCUCGACGCGGUCAAUUUUCUUGGUCUUUGAUUUUUUGGUGGUGACUUUGACGGUUUCGGUUUUCAUAGUCUCAAGCUUCU